CUGGGAGAGGGGUGUUUACUCC
Molecule: microRNA, 22 nt
Filed under: Echinops telfairi (small Madagascar hedgehog)
Lineage: Eukaryota; Metazoa; Chordata; Mammalia; Afrosoricida; Tenrecidae
Description: Ete-Mir-30-P2d_3p* (star (passenger))
Source: RNAcentral